GGAGUUGUGGCCUACUGGUUAGGGCUUUGAGCUUGUAACCGGAGGGUUGCCGGUUCGAUCCCCGACCAGUUGGA
Molecule: transfer RNA, 74 nt
Filed under: Alosa alosa (allis shad)
Lineage: Eukaryota; Metazoa; Chordata; Actinopteri; Clupeiformes; Clupeidae
Description: tRNA-OTHER
Source: RNAcentral